Molecule: long non-coding RNA, 143 nt
Organism: Thalassophryne amazonica
Lineage: Eukaryota; Metazoa; Chordata; Actinopteri; Batrachoidiformes; Batrachoididae
Exons: 3
Source: RefSeq, a predicted model, not a curated record
CUCUGAUUGGCUGAUUACCAGUCUGAUAUUUUCCCGUAUCUGGACCGGUUACCAUGACAGUUGGUCCACAACACAUAUUUUUGUUACAAACCCGGAAGCUAAAAACACGAUUAGAAAAACCAAAAAGAAACAAUUUGGAGAUC